CGGUUCCGGAACAGCUAUGACCAUGAUUACCUCAAGCUAGUUAGGGGACACUAUAGAAAUACUCAAAGCUAUGCAUCCCAACGCGUUUGGAGCUUUCCCAUAUGGUCGACCUGCAGGGCGGCCCGCGAAUUCACUAGUGAUUAGAGUUUGAUCAUGGCUCAGGAUGAACGCUAGCGGCAGGCCUAACACAUGCAAGUCGAGGGGUAACAGGGAUUGCUUGCAAUCCGCUGACGACCGGCGCACGGGUGCGUAACGCGUAUGCAACCUACCUUUUACAGGGGUAUAGUCAAGAGAAAUUUUGAAUAACACCCCAUACGAUCAUCCUUACACCUGUAAAGAUGAAGAAAACUCCGGUGGUAAAAGAUGGGCAUGCGUCCUAUUAGUUAGUUGGUGAGGUAACGGCUCACCAAGACUGCGAUAGGUAGGGGUCCUGAGAGGGAGAUCCCCCACACUGGUACUGAGACACGGACCAGACUCCUACGGGAGGCAGCAGUGAGGAAUAUUGGACAAUGGAGGCAACUCUGAUCCAGCCAUGCCGCGUGCAGGAAGACUGCCCUAUGGGUUGUAAACUGCUUUUAUACAGGAAGAAACCUUGGUACGUGUACUAAGCUGACGGUACUGUAAGAAUAAGGAUCGGCUAACUCCGUGCCAGCAGCCGCGGUAAUACGGAGGAUCCAAGCGUUAUCCGGAAUCAUUGGGUUUAAAGGGUCCGCAGGCGGUUUUUUAAGUCAGAGGUGAAAUCCUAUCGCUCAACGAUAGAACUGCCUUUGAUACUGAAAGACUUGAGUUAUUGUGAAGUGGUUAGAAUAUGUAGUGUAGCGGUGAAAUGCAUAGAUAUUACAUAGAAUACCGAUUGCGAAGGCAGAUCACUAACAAUACACUGACGCUGAGGGACGAAAGCGUGGGUAGCGAACAGGAUUAGAUACCCUGGUAGUCCACGCCGUAAACGAUGUAUUCUAGCUGUUUGACCAACAUUGGUUGGUUGAGUGGCUAAGCGAAAGUGAUAAGUC
This 1010-nucleotide ribosomal RNA is filed under the name uncultured Bacteroidota bacterium. RNAcentral's name for it is "uncultured Bacteroidetes bacterium partial 16S ribosomal RNA". The stretch from base 136 to 1010 matches the Rfam family "Bacterial small subunit ribosomal RNA", at positions 1 to 866 of the family's 1533-position model. Lineage: Bacteria; Pseudomonadati; Bacteroidota. The record is from RNAcentral.